AAAGAUGCAAUUUUUACUCUAUGGACCUUGGCAAGUACAAGAACUCUACUCUCCUGGACUCCAGCAAAGCAAUGGCCAUUGAUAAGAUACCACAGAUGUCAAAUCUUUCAGCAAUAUUAGAACCUGUACCAGAGGAUUUUCCAAACCAACGCACAAAAAGAAAGAGACCAUCAAGUUCUUCAGCAUUAAGCGUUUCAGCUACUCUGGCAGGUAAAAUAUGACCUGAAGCAGUUGUACUAGCUGUGAGAACAGAAUAUUCUACCCAAACUUAAAUGGUUGCACAGUAUCUAAACCAGGCUUUUACUGUGUCCUUUGUCUUCCAGCACAGACUAAACUCAGUUGUGUUCUAGAAGGGAAAGUGUAAAUUGAAAAAUUGUCCCAGCAAAUAAGACUUGGUUCUAAUUAAUGUGUUAGGAGACGAAAACAAAAACAACCAAUCGACUGAAGUCUCAGACCCUGCAUUUUCCGAUUUUCACUGAGCAUCACCCAUGAUGCUCAGUGAAAUUGACAUUGAAAAUUGACAUUUCUUAUUUACCUUACCCAGAGCACAACUAUUUGUGUCAUGCUCUUUACUUGAGCUAAUUUCAUGUCAGAUUCACAAAUACAUUGAUGUAACUGCAGUUCUGAUGUGUGACCAGUACAAUUCUGUCUGCAGCCCAGGUACCACAUAAUUCCCCCCUGCUUAAUUUGGAGUGUAAUAGCAUCAGAAGUUGCCUCUGGUAAAGACUGCUGUGAUUAUGCAGGUCUCAGUGUUUACCCAGCUGCAUAUAGCCAAGUGACCAUUUUAAUAAGCAGCCUUGUGUACAGAAUGGGAGAGGGGUAAAGCAGUCCUGAUGGUGGGGAGAUGAGGAUUAUAUUGGAGGGGAAAAUUGCGUUUACAGGAGUGGCUUUAGAAUUAUUCCUCUUUGGAAACCAUCUUGUAAGACAGGGGGUGGAGAGUAGCUGUAGUAGUCUUUGUCUCAAAGUUAAUUAAUGUGUUGGAAAUCUGUCACAGGAAAAAAACUCUGUAAAAUAACAGCUGCAAGAGAGAGAACUCCAGAUCUAAAAAGUGGUAUGCGCUGUUCUUCACCAUUAGGACCGGAAAGCAAGUAUGGUACUCGAACAGCUAAAGCCAAAAGGCUGAAGAAAAAAGAAAGCAGUUUUAAUCCCUUUGAAGAAGGUUCAUCAUCAUUUAGGCAGCUUGAUGCCCCAGAAAACACGUCAGCCCGAUCAAAGGGGCUGACAGCUGAAGUUCUGCCAAGCAAACCCACAGAUGCUGUGGUGCAAAUGACUUCCACCAUGCUAAUCAUGGAGGAAAAUAAAGUCCUAAAAAAUCCUGGUAAUGCUCAGCCUCUAGAGCUAGAUCUUAGCCUGUCGCCGGUGUGUAAAGCCUCACCCAGGGAAGACCUGUUCCUGAAUACCACAGGUCCUUUUGUUAACUCAGAAGAAAUUGUUCCUGCAUCUCUGAGCUCAGAAAAAGAAAUGACUCCUCGAAGUCCAGAAGAAAAGAAUAUUUCAAAGCCUCAGUGUGAGAGAAGGGAGAUCUGCUCCAUUGUGAGACUGUCACCAGACCCGAGGCCUUCCCGGCUGCACAAAGUCCCAGUUAACUCCAAAAAGUGCUACCUUCCCAAAGGACUGCCUGAAGAUUCUAUAACGAGUACCAAGAAUUGGAUCUACUGUAAACGGAGAUGAGAUUUUUGGCUCUCAACAGGAGUUAACAGAAGAAAUUACUGUCUUGCUGCUGUGACAGGGUGGUAAAACAGAACUCCUAACUAGCAAAUAAUGGUUGUAUGUUGUUUGACAUUUAGUAGUACGUGUUUCAGUAAGCUGGUAAAUACUCAGAUACUUUAUAUUAUUUUGUACAGCAGCUAGAUUCUGUUCUGGGCAUUAUUCUGUAAGGAUUCCAUAAAGAUGAUUCUUCAGUUUGUUUAGAUUUUUAAAAAGUUUGACUGAAGAACAGCAGACCAAAUGCCUUUAAAAGAAUUACUUUUGGCUCUCUCUCUGCCAAGAUUUCUAGUUUUCUCUAGCAGCAUUAGUAUCUAAAGAUGGGACCUCUGUUUAAGUGUUAACAUUGACUGUGAAGGUAACUGCAUGUCCUGGGAGUGGCCAUGAGAGCAUUCAUGUACUCUUGGAGACCCAGAAGUCAAUAGUAUGCCACCUUUAAACUCCUUCAAUGCUUAGGUCUGCAGAACUUUGGAGGACUCCGAGUUCUGCUGUAAUUUGAUUUCUGAACAUGACUACAGGUCAUCUUCACCCCAUCAUCUCUGAGAAUUGGCUCUUAAUGUUCAGCACUGUCACCAUUCUGGGCAUAUCCACUGCCCAGCCACUGCCAUCUCAGAGUUCUUCCUGCUUCAUCUCACGUGUUUUGUAAUAUCACAUCUCUCAGUCAUUGUUCCUUCUAGUGGCUUCAGACUUCAAGUAAAUGCCUUACAUGAACACAAAGGAAAAACCCUUUUACAGCUGAACUGUUUGAAGAGAUGGAUAUUGAUGUUCUGGAUUUUCAGGUUACUGCUCACACUACGUCCACAUAAUUCAAAUUCCCAGUGCUUUCAGUUCAGGUUGUGGAUUGUUAAUUCAUAAAUGUUGUUCUUAAUGUGCUGAAUGUCUCAGAAAACACUGUCAAGAACAAUUUUUUUCUGCUUGAAUUCAUUGCACAUUUAAGUAAUUUGGAGCCCUUCAGUGUUCUCAUUACAAUAUCCUUUACUCAGACUUUCUCUGGACAAAAAGGAAUUUUCUCAAUGUUACAAAAUGCUAGUAUGGCUUUCAAAAGUCUGAGUUUGUUUCUCAGUGUUAUCACCCUGGAAAAUAGUUCUGUAUUUCCUAAAAGAGCAUUAAAAGAAGACAUACAAAAUUCACAACUGUAGUUUGACUGCAUUUGAAAAUACCUGUAAAAGUUCAAACCCUGAUCUUUUCCCCAUUGCUCUGGGGUAGAAGGAAGUGCAAAUAAUUGCUGCUGGAUUAGUCUGUGAACAAGUAUUAUAUAAACAUUCCGAAUGGCUCAAGGUUAAAAAUUAUGCCAUUAAGCUAUUUUUCUUUUAAGCAUUAAUAGAACGAGUUCUGCCAAUAACGCCUUGGAGUCCUGUUGGGUAUGCUUUUAAUUAUCAAUAUCCUUGUUCUUGCAAAUACUAAAUCACUAGUAAUUAUGCAGGAAUCUAGAGCCCCUAGGAGACAGAGGUGAGCUCCUUGAUGUAGCUUUAAGCAAAAAUGAAAGUUACAUAUUUAGAAAGUUUACCUGAAUAAUCAUAAUGCUUAUGAUGAUUAUUCAAGUAAAGGAUGGUCCACAAUAAAGAUGUUUAUUGUAAGGAUGUUCUGGAAGUC
This 3297-nucleotide long non-coding RNA is filed under the name Junco hyemalis (dark-eyed junco). Its description in RNAcentral is "lncRNA (ENSJHYG00000013415.1)". Lineage: Eukaryota; Metazoa; Chordata; Aves; Passeriformes; Passerellidae. The record is from RNAcentral.